RNAcentral lists this small RNA (535 nucleotides) under Aspergillus versicolor. RNAcentral's name for it is "eukaryotic LSU rRNA". The stretch from base 154 to 307 matches the Rfam family "5.8S ribosomal RNA". Lineage: Eukaryota; Fungi; Ascomycota; Eurotiomycetes; Eurotiales; Aspergillaceae. The record is from RNAcentral.
CGAGUGCGGGCUGCUCCGGGCGCCAACCUCCCACCCGUGACUACCUCACACUGUUGCUUCGGCGGGGAGCCCUCUCGGGGGCGAGCCGCCGGGGACUACUGAACUUCAUGCCUGAGAGUGAUGCAGUCUGAGUCUGAAUAUAAAAUCAGUCAAAACUUUCAACAAUGGAUCUCUUGGUUCCGGCAUCGAUGAAGAACGCAGCGAACUGCGAUAAGUAAUGUGAAUUGCAGAAUUCAGUGAAUCAUCGAGUCUUUGAACGCACAUUGCGCCCCCUGGCAUUCCGGGGGGCAUGCCUGUCCGAGCGUCAUUGCUGCCCAUCAAGCCCGGCUUGUGUGUUGGGUCGUCGUCCCCCCCGGGGGACGGGCCCGAAAGGCAGCGGCGGCACCGUGUACGGUCCUCGAGCGUAUGGGGCUUUGUCACCCGCUCGAUUAGGGCCGGCCGGGCGCCAGCCGACGUCUCCAACCAUUUUCUUCAGGUUGACCUCGGAUCAGGUAGGGAUACCCGCUGAACUUAAGCAUAUCAUAUCCCGGAGGAA